UGCCAGCCGCCGCGGUAAUACGGAGGGGGCUAGCGUUGUUCGGAAUUAUUGGGCGUAAAGCGCGUGUAGGCGGUUCGUUAAGUCUGAUGUGAAAGCCCGGGGCUCAACCCCGGAAGUGCAUUGGAAACUGGCGAACUUGAGUACGGGAGAGGAAAGUGGAAUUCCGAGUGUAGGGGUGAAAUCCGUAGAUAUUCGGAGGAACACCAGUGGCGAAGGCGGCCUUCUGGACUGAUACUGACACUGAGGUGCGAAAGCGUGGGGAGCGAACAGGAUUAGAUA
RNAcentral lists this ribosomal RNA (279 nucleotides) under uncultured bacterium. RNAcentral describes it as "partial 16S ribosomal RNA". It matches the Rfam family "Bacterial small subunit ribosomal RNA", at positions 506 to 784 of the family's 1533-position model. The record is from RNAcentral.